Molecule: ribosomal RNA, 359 nt
Filed under: uncultured soil bacterium
Lineage: Bacteria
Description: bacterial SSU rRNA
Rfam family: Bacterial small subunit ribosomal RNA
Source: RNAcentral
AGAGCGAACGCUGGCGGCAGGCCUAACACAUGCAAGUCGAACGGACCCUUCGGGGUUAGUGGCGGACGGGUGAGUAACACGUGGGAACGUGCCUUUUGGUUCGGAAUAGCUCCUGGAAACGGGUGGUAAUGCCGAAUGUGCCCUUCGGGGGAAAGAUUUAUCGCCAUUAGAGCGGCCCGCGUCUGAUUAGCUAGUUGGUGAGGUAAUGGCUCACCAAGGCGACGAUCAGUAGCUGGUCUGAGAGGAUGACCAGCCACAUUGGGACUGAGACACGGCCCAAACUCCUACGGGAGCAGCAGUGGGAAUCUUGCGCAAUGGCGAAAGCCUGACGCAGCCAUGCCGCGUGAGUGAAGAAGGCC